Molecule: ribosomal RNA, 403 nt
Filed under: uncultured bacterium
Lineage: Bacteria
Description: partial 16S ribosomal RNA
Rfam family: Bacterial small subunit ribosomal RNA
Source: RNAcentral
GACGAACGCUGGCGGCGUGCCUAAUACAUGCAAGUCGAACGCAGUGGGGACGGGUGAGUUACACGUGGGUAACCUCCCAUCAGAGGGGAUAACACUUGGAAACAGGUGCUAAACCGAUUCCGAUGGAUGGACCUGCGGUGCAUUAGCUAGAUGGUGAGGUAACGGUCCACCAAGGUCCCGAUGCAUAGCCGAGCUGAGAGGUUGAUCGGCCACACUGGGACGGAGACACGGCCCAGACUCCUACGGGAGGCAGCAGUGGGGAAUCUUCGGCAAUGGGCGAAAGUCUGGCCGAGCAACGCCGCGUGAGUGAAGAGGGUUUUCGGAUCGUAAGGCUCUUUUGUUAGAGAAGCGGUAUCUAGCCAAAAAGCCACGGCUAACUACGUGCCAGCAGCCGCGGUAAUAC